GAUGAACGCUAGCGGGAGGCAUAAUACAUGCAAGUCGAACGGGAUUUAAAGAGUAGCAAUACAAUUUAAUGAGAGUGGCGUACGGGUGCGUAACGGGUAUGCAACCUACAUUUAUCUGGGGGAUAGCCCCUCGAAAGAGGGAUUAAUACCGCAUAACAUGGUUUAAGGGCAUCCUUAGGCCAUCAAAACUUCGGUGGAUAGAUAUGGGCAUGCUUGACAUUAGGUAGUUGGUGAGGUAAUGGCUCACCAAGCCUACGAUGUCUAGGGGGUCUGAGAGGAUGUACCCCCACACUGGUACUGAGACACGGACCAGACUCCUACGGGAGGCAGCAGUAGGGAAUAUUGCACAAUGGGCGAAAGCCUGAUGCAGCAAUGCCGCGUGUGUGAAGAAGGCCUGCGGGUUGUAAAGCACUUUUCGGUAGGGAAGAUUAUGACGGUACCUACAGAAGAAGCACCGGCUAACUCCGUGCCAGCAG
RNAcentral lists this ribosomal RNA (476 nucleotides) under uncultured bacterium. RNAcentral describes it as "bacterial SSU rRNA". It matches the Rfam family "Bacterial small subunit ribosomal RNA", at positions 28 to 514 of the family's 1533-position model. The record is from RNAcentral.